ACUGGGGGAGGAAGGGAGGUGACAGAGUGGAGGAGGUGAAUGGGGAAGGAACCAACACUCCAAGACUGUCUGGAGAGGAGAAAAAGGUCUCUGAGAACUUCCUAGAGCCUCGUGAGGUCAGAACGAUUGUUAUCCCAGUAUACAGAGAAGAAGAAGGCUCAGAGAGGUUCAGCAGGAAGCAGAGUAUGAAUAAAGAGCAGAAUGAUUCUGCCAGAGCUCCUCUCCCUCUGAGCUGGACAGUGAGGACUCCAGGAGCCGAGAGCCUUGUGGAAGUGAGAAGGGGGAGUCUUACUGAGCCAUGGACAUUUGAGCUCUAGGACAGCCCCUACCCUCAGCCUGGGGAUACCCAACAAACGCUUCCAAGCCCUGAGACUCCAUGACUCAGUGGGAGUGUGGAAUUGAGUCUUAUUCUGUUGCCCAGGCUGGAGUGAAGUGGCGCGAUCUCGGCCCACUGCAACCUUCACCUCCCGAGUUCGAGCGAUUCUUGUGCCUCAGCCCCCGGAGUAGCUGGGACAAAAAUCUUUAACUGUGAUUAAAAACACAUAU
RNAcentral lists this non-coding RNA (546 nucleotides) under Pan troglodytes (chimpanzee). Lineage: Eukaryota; Metazoa; Chordata; Mammalia; Primates; Hominidae. The record is from RNAcentral.